Molecule: long non-coding RNA, 349 nt
Organism: Hyla sarda
Lineage: Eukaryota; Metazoa; Chordata; Amphibia; Anura; Hylidae
Exons: 3
Source: RefSeq, a predicted model, not a curated record
GCACCCCGAACAAGAUCCAGACGCAACCAAAAGAACCACCACAUCCGAUCCAACCCUCUCCCCCUCGGGAGUUCCAGGACAGGGGCACGAGAGACGGGCCCAACCGGGCGGACCACCAACACAGGUCCCCACAUCAGUUCCUUGCUAGUCUACACACUGGGACCCAGCAUCCAAAGGCCCAACACCAACGAACCACCGACCCGUAGCCCACUGCUCCAGAAAUCGGUCUUCUUCUGAGCAGUUACGGCGCGCCCUAAGAAACUGGCCAGUUGGAAUGCUCCUCCGCAAAGUGACCGGAUGCCAGCUGGUCCAAUGAAGGAGACUAUUUGUCGAGAUGGGUUUCCUGAAG